GACGAACGCUGGCGGCGUGCUUAACACAUGCAAGUCGAACGGAAAGGCCCUGCUUUUGUGGGGUGCUCGAGUGGCGAACGGGUGAGUAACACGUGAAUAACCUGCCCUUGACUUUGGGAUAACUUCAGGAAACUGGGGCUAAUACCGGAUAGGAGCUCCUGCUGCAUGGUGGGGGUUGGAAAGUUUCGGCGGUUGGGGAUGGACUCGCGGCUUAUCAGCUUGUUGGUGGGGUAGUGGCUUACCAAGGCUUUGACGGGUAGCCGGCCUGAGAGGGUGACCGGCCACAUUGGGACUGAGAUACGGCCCAGACUCCUACGGGAGGCAGCAGUGGGGAAUAUUGCACAAUGGGCGGAAGCCUGAUGCAGCAACGCCGCGUGCGGGAUGACGGCCUUCGGGUUGUAAACCGCUUUCGCCUGUGACGAAACGUGAGUGACGGUAAUGGGUAAAGAAGCACCGGCUAACUACGUG
This 468-nucleotide ribosomal RNA is filed under the name uncultured bacterium. RNAcentral describes it as "partial 16S ribosomal RNA". It matches the Rfam family "Bacterial small subunit ribosomal RNA", at positions 28 to 507 of the family's 1533-position model. The record is from RNAcentral.